GAUGAAGAACGUAGCGAAAUGCGAUAAGUAAUGUGAAUUGCAGAAUUCAGUGAAUCAUCGAAUCUUUGAACGCAUAUUGCGCUCUCUGGUAUUCCGGAGAGCAUGCUUGUUUGAGUAUCAGUAAACACCUCAACUUCCAUAUCUUUUUUGAAAUGGGAGUUGGACUUGAGUGAUCCCAACGCUUUUCCUCACCGAAAAGUGGCAGGUUACUUGAAAUGCAGGUGCAGCUGGACUUUUCUCUGAGCUUAUAAGCAUAUCUAUUUAGUCUGCCUAAAAAACAGAUUAUUACCUUUGCUGCAGCUAACAUAAAGGAGAUUAGUUCUUGUGCUGACUGAUGCAGGAUUCACAAAGACAGGCUUCGGCCGACUUUGUAAACUCGAUCUCAAAUCAAGUAAGACUACCCGCUGAACUUAAGCAUAUCAAUAAGCGGAGGA
This 434-nucleotide unclassified non-coding RNA is filed under the name soil metagenome. Its description in RNAcentral is "partial contains 5.8S ribosomal RNA, internal transcribed spacer 2, and large subunit ribosomal RNA". The stretch from base 1 to 120 matches the Rfam family "5.8S ribosomal RNA", at positions 35 to 154 of the family's 154-position model. The record is from RNAcentral.